This is a long non-coding RNA of Tachysurus vachellii, 388 nucleotides long. RefSeq lists it as uncharacterized. NCBI's taxonomy places the organism in Eukaryota, Metazoa, Chordata, Actinopteri, Siluriformes, Bagridae. The transcript has 3 exons. The record is from RefSeq and is a predicted model, not a curated record.
GUUUAGUAUCAGCAGUUUUAGUCAGAUUGACCUGUCACUGGAGGACGUUUAAGACAUGACAACGGCAGUAGUGCAGAAAAUGGCAUUGGGGGCAGGAAUUGGUCUCGUGGCCGCUGGUGUUGGACAAUUGUUUGGUGGCACUCGUGGAUUAGCGGCAGGUGCGGCUGUGGGAGGUGCAACUCUGUUUUUUGUGAAUCUAGAUCUUAAGCCUCUAUCUGAAAUUUUUCUCUCAAAUAAAAAGAAAGAAGCACUCCUGAAACUGAUCCUAUCACUGACCUCUAUUGCUGUUGAUCUCUGGAAGAAUUCUGAUAACAUACAUCUGAACAGUAAAACUGCUUGUCGUCUUAUUGAGAAUGGAUUGUCUAAGGGAAUUCCACAGCAGAUCAUG